AAAUAGAAAGCAAAUUGCAAUCAGUUUCGACCUGAUCUUUGGUGACUUCACCUCUAUUUA
This 60-nucleotide transfer RNA is filed under the name Homogryllacris anelytra. RNAcentral's name for it is "tRNA-Arg". Lineage: Eukaryota; Metazoa; Arthropoda; Insecta; Orthoptera; Gryllacrididae. The record is from RNAcentral.